CCCGGAGGAGCCCUCAAGCCAAGUGGGUCCAUGAGAGAAGGAAUGAACCCCUCUGAACAGCACUGGCCAUGCCCCAAGUGCCCCUGGGAGCGCGGAGUUCAACCCACAAGAGAGAAGACGGAAGCCUUGGAAGUGAAGCUCGUCUUCUUUGUGCCAUCAAACCCACCAACCUUCCUGACCACUCCCACGUCCCCCACCUCCCGUGCCAUGGGCACCGGCUUAGUGGUUCUCAGACCUUAGGUGCAGUUCAACGAGAUAUCCAUGUAAACGUGGCGCCCCGUGAAAUUUGAGGACCGCCUCGGUGUUGCCAAA
Herpailurus yagouaroundi (jaguarundi) is the source of this 312-nucleotide long non-coding RNA. RefSeq lists it as uncharacterized. Lineage: Eukaryota; Metazoa; Chordata; Mammalia; Carnivora; Felidae. The record is from RefSeq and is a predicted model, not a curated record. The transcript is spliced from 3 exons.